RNAcentral lists this ribosomal RNA (428 nucleotides) under uncultured prokaryote. RNAcentral's name for it is "bacterial SSU rRNA". It matches the Rfam family "Bacterial small subunit ribosomal RNA", at positions 355 to 774 of the family's 1533-position model. The record is from RNAcentral.
UCGAGGAUCAUUCGCAAUGGGCGCAAGCCUGACGAUGUGACGCUGCGUGGAGGACGAAGGCCUUCGGGUCGUAAACUCCUGUCAUGAGGGAAAAAGGUCUUGCGGGCUAACAUCCCGCAAGCUCGAUGGUACUUCAAGAGGAAGCCACGGCUAACUCUGUGCCAGCAGCCGCGGUAAUACAGAGGUGGCGAGCGUUGUUCGGAUUUACUGGGCGUAAAGGGCGCGUAGGCCGUUGCGUGUGUCGAGUGUGAAAUCCCCGGGCUCAACCCGGGAAGUGCGCUCGAAACUGCGUGACUUGAGCAGAGGAGGGGAGAGCGGAAUUCAUGGUGUAGCGGUGAAAUGCGUUGAUAUCAUGAGGAACACCGGUGGCGAAGGCGGCUCUCUGGAAUCUUGCUGACGCUGAGGCGCGAAAGUCGGGGGAGCAAACA